AUGAGCUUCCUAUGCUCACUUGUCACCCUCCUGCUGAUCGUAGCUGUGAGCGCGGACGAUGAGGCUGCGUUGCUUGCUUUCAAAGCUCAGCUCAGCCAUGGCGGCUCGCUGGCCUCCUGGAACAGCAGCGCUGGCUUCUGCAGCUGGGAAGGCGUGACGUGCCACCGCACGCCAGCACGGGUGGUGGCACUGAGAUUGUCCAGCACCGGUCUCGCUGGAACGCUCUCCCCGGCCAUCGGGAACCUCUCGUUCCUGCGGACGCUCGAUCUGAGCUCCAACUCUUUCCACGGGGACAUUCCAGCGAGCCUCGGCCGCCUCCGGCGCCUGCAGAAGCUCAUCUUAUACGACAACUCCUUCUCAGGCACAUUGCCAGUGAACCUGAGCUCCUGCGUUAGCAUCACCGAAAUGAAUCUGGACAACAACACCCUUGGCGGGCGGAUCCCGGCUGAGCUCGGCGAGAAGCUCACGUACCUCUCACUGAGACAGAACAGCUUCACAGGGCUCAUCCCCGCGUCACUUGGCAAUAUGUCCCAUCUACAACUCCUCGAUCUCACCACCAACCAGCUCGUGGGCUCAAUCCCAUCAGGCCUCGGAAGCAUCCAGAGCAUGAUAUAUUUCAGUGUCGCAGUUAACCUCGUCACUGGUAUGAUUCCACAUUCUCUCUACAAUUGGUCAUCGCUGGAAGUAUUUAGUGUAGGGGGGAAUAUGCUAGACGGAAGCAUUCCGGAUGACAUUGCAAGCAAGUUUCCCAAGUUGAAAUAUCUUGCUUUGGGUAGUAAUCACUUCACAGGAAUCAUCCCUUCCUCAAUAUCCAACAUAUCUUCCCUCAUAUUACUUGACCUCGUGGACAACAGAUUUAGUGGGUAUGUGCCUCCCACAUUGGGGGGGCUCAAAGCUCUCCAAUCUGUCAACUUGGGUGAGAAUAAUCUUGAAGCGAAUGAUAACAGGGGUUGGGAAUUCGUCGCAUCUUUGGCAAACUGCAGCCAACUGCGGUUUUUGGUAUUAUACACGAAUUCUUUCGGAGGACAACUACCGGGUUCAAUUGUGAACCUCUCAACAACUCUCCAGCAGUUAAACUUGAUGGAUAAUAGGAUCUCUGGGAGUAUCCCUGCAGAUAUCGGUAAUUUGAUUGGGCUGGAAAGACUUGCGAUAGGAUAUACUGGCAUGUACGGAGUGAUUCCAGAGAGCAUUGGCAAGCUAGCGAACUUGAUCGAGCUUGUCUUGUGCAACAAUAGCUUGUCUGGGCUCAUACCAUCAUCGCUAGGAAACCUUUCGCGGUUGAAUAGGCUUGAUGCAAGUGAAGGCAACUUGGAGGGGCCAAUUCCGGUAAGCCUAGGGGAGUUGAAAAACCUCUUUGUACUAGAUUUGUCCAACAAUUACCAUCUUAACGGUUCGGUACCCAGAGAGAUUUUCAAAUUACCCGGCCUUUCUUGGUAUUUGAACUUGUCAUACAAUUCCCUUUCUGGACCCAUUCCUAAUGAAGUUGGUAGUUUAGCAAAUCUUAACGAAUUAGUUCUAUCAGGAAACCAGUUGUCUGGAAAGAUACCUGACAGUAUUCAGAAUUGUGUGGUAUUGGAAUGGUUAUUAUUAGACAGUAAUUCAUUUGAGGGAAGCAUACCUAAGUCAUUGAAGAAUAUAAAGGGGCUCCGUACACUGAACCUGACCAUGAAUAAUUUCUCUGGUAAUAUUCCUGAGGCCCUUGGCAGUAUUGGAAACCUGCAAGAACUGUACCUAGCACACAACAACUUGUCAGGGUCAAUCACAUCAGUUCUACAGGAUUUGACAAGAUUGUCUGAACUGGAUAUAUCCUUCAAUAAUUUGCAAGGUGAGGUGCCAAGUGAAGGUGUUUUUAGAAACAUCACCUACUUAGCGGUUGUUGGGAAUAUCAAUUUGUGUGGUGGUACACCUCAACUUUAUUUGGCUCCAUGCUCCAAAAGCCCCUUAAGCAAGAACAAAAAAAAGAUGCCAAUGUCUCUUGUAAUUUUCCUAGCUAUAGCUGGAGCAAUCUUGUUCUUAUUUUCAGUUAUUCUUAUUGUUUGGAUACUUUCCAAGAAGCUCAAACCAAGCCAGAAUACAUUAGCACACAAUUCAAUUGCUGAUGACCAUUAUGAGAGAAUCCCCUAUCAGGCAUUAAUGAGAGGAACUGACGGAUUUUCAGAAGUUAACUUGCUUGGCAGAGGAAGUUAUGGUGUGGUUUAUAAGUGUGUUUUGGACACUGAAGAAAGAACAUUUGCUGUCAAAGUAUUUGCUAGGUAUUCCAAGAGUUUUGAGGCUGAAUGUGAGGCCAUGAGAAGGAUACGACACCGUUGUAUCAUUAAGAUCAUUACUUCUUGUUCGAGCGUCAAUCACCAAGGUCAAGAGUUCAAGGCAUUGGUUUUUGAGUUCAUGCCCAAUGGUAACUUGGAUGGAUGGCUUCAUAAAAAAUCGCAAGAGCCCACAAGAAACAACACACUCAACCUUUCCCAGAGGCUUGAUAUUGCUGUAGAUAUUGUGGACGCAAUAGAAUAUCUGCACAACUACUGCCAACCAUUGGUAAUCCAUUGCGAUCUUAAGCCUAGCAACAUUCUUCUUGCGGAAGAUAUGAGCGCACGAGUUGGAGACUUUGGCAUAUCAAGGAUCUUUGAAGAAAAGACAAGCAAGGGGAUGCAAACUUCAUAUAGCUCAACUCGAAUUAGAGGAACCAUAGGCUAUGUUGCUCCAGAGUACGGAGAAGGCUCCGCGGUUUCAGCAGCCAGUGACAUUUAUAGUCUUGGCAUAUUGUUGCUUGAGAUGUUUACCGGGAGGAGCCCAACAGAAGUCACUUUCAGGGAUUCGUUGGAUCUGCAUAAGUUUGCCGAGGAUGCUCUUCCGGAUAGAGCCCUGGAGAUAGCUGAUCCGACAAUGUGGCUGCACAGAGGACAACAUGAUGGCACUACAAGUAUUAGAAUCCAUGAGUUAUUGGCUUCAGUAUUCAGACUUGGCAUAUCCUGCUCAAAGCAACAGCCUCGGGACCGGGCAUUGACGAGAGAUGCAGCGACAGAAAUGCACGCAAUCAGAGAUGCAUACCUCAAGUUUAUAGGGGAGCGUGGAGCAGAAAGAGAAGUCUCGACUCAAGAAAUUCAGAACAUUGUUGAAUAA
RNAcentral lists this ribosomal RNA (3117 nucleotides) under Triticum aestivum (bread wheat). RNAcentral describes it as "partial small subunit ribosomal RNA". The record is from RNAcentral. Lineage: Eukaryota; Viridiplantae; Streptophyta; Magnoliopsida; Poales; Poaceae.